This 1257-nucleotide long non-coding RNA is filed under the name Oncorhynchus mykiss (rainbow trout). Its description in RNAcentral is "lncRNA (ENSOMYG00000071295.1)". Lineage: Eukaryota; Metazoa; Chordata; Actinopteri; Salmoniformes; Salmonidae. The record is from RNAcentral.
AUGGUGACGAGCCCUGAGAAGAGGAGUAGAAAGAGACAGAGGAGUAGAAAGAGACAGAGGAGUAGAAAGAGACAGAGGAGUAGAAAGAGACAGAGGAGUAGAAAGAGACAGAGGAGUAGAAAGAGACAGAGGAGUAGACAGAGACAGAGGAGUAGAAAGAGACAGAGGAGUAGAAAGAGACAGAGGAGUAGAAAGAGACAGAGGAGUAGAAAGAGACAGAGGAGUAGACGGAGACAGAGGAGUAGAAAGAGACAGAGGAGUAGACAGAGACAGAGGAGUAGAAAGAGACAGAGGAGUAGAAAGAGACAGAGGAGGAGAAAGAGACAGAGGAGUAGAAAGAGACAGAGGAGUAGAAAGAGACAGAGGAGUAGAAAGAGACAGAGGAGGAGAAAGAGACAGAGGAGGAGAAAGAGACAGAGGAGGAGAAAGAGACAGAGGAGUAGAAAGAGACAGAGGAGUAGACCGAGACAGAGGAGUAGAAAGAGACAGAGGAGUAGAAAGAGACAGAGGAGGAGAAAGAGACAGAGGAGUAGAAAGAGACAGAGGAGUAGAAAGAGACAGAGGAGUAGAAAGAGACAGAGGAGGAGAAAGAGACAGAGGAGGAGAAAGAGACAGAGGAGGAGAAAGAGACAGAGGAGUAGACCGAGACAGAGGAGUAGAAAGAGACAGAGGAGGAGAAAGAAACAGAGGAGUAGAAAUAGACAGAGUAGAAAGAGACAGAGGAGUAGAAAGAGACAGAGGAGAAACAGACAGAGGAGUAGAAAGAGACAGAGGAGGAGAAAGAGACAGAGGAGUAGAAAGAGACAGAGGAGUAGAAAGAGACAGAGGAGUAGAAAGAGACAGAGGAGUAGAAAGAGACAGAGGAGUAGAAAGAGACAGAGGAGGAGAAAGAAACAGAGGAGUAGAAAUAGACAGAGGAGUAGAAAGAGACAGAGGAGUAGAAAGAGACAGAGGAGAAAGAGACAGAGGAGUAGAAAGAGACAGAGGAGUAGACAGAGACAGAGGAGUAGAAAGAGACAGAGGAGUAGACAGAGACAGAGUAGAAAGAGACAGAGGAGUAGAAAGAGACAGAGGAGUAGACAGAGACAGAGGAGUAGAAAGAGACAGAGGAGUAGAAAGAGACAGAGGAGGAGAAAGAAACAGAGGAGUAGAAAUAGACAGAGGAGUAGAAAGAGACAGAGGAGGAGAAAGAAACAGAGGAGUAGAAAUAGACAGAGGAGUAGAAAGAGACAGAGCAGGAACCAUAGAUGUCUGUGA